Molecule: ribosomal RNA, 430 nt
Filed under: uncultured Acidobacteriota bacterium
Lineage: Bacteria; Pseudomonadati; Acidobacteriota
Description: bacterial SSU rRNA
Rfam family: Bacterial small subunit ribosomal RNA
Source: RNAcentral
UAUUCGAGUUUGACCCUNGGCUCAGAUCAACGCUGGCGGCGUGCCUAACACAUGCAAGUCGAACGCGAAAGGGGGUUUCGGCUCCCGAGUAGAGUGGCGCACGGGUGAGUAACACGUGGGUAAUCUGCCUUUGGGUGGGGAAUAACGUUCCGAAAGGGACGCUAAUACCGCAUAACGCAGCGGCACCGCAUGGUGACAGUUGUUAAAGUGGGGGAUCUUCGGACCUCACGCCUAAAGAGGAGCCCGCGCCCGAUUAGCUAGUUGGUGGGGUAAUGGCUUACCAAGGCGACGAUCGGUAUCCGGCCUGAUAUGUCCGUCCCCCCCGCUGGGAGUGGGAUGUAUGAUAUAUUCUAAUAACGAAUCACACCGCUUAGAAUUUUAGAGCAAUAACCGAACCUCUCCAAUAUAACACUUUACAUAAAAUGAGAAG